UGAGUAUACUUGGCUAUUUUUUGGCAGGGGUAACGAAAUAUAUCGGCUGUUCUCUACAGUAAGUGUUUCUUUAUGUGUUGCCCAUCGGAAUAUAAUACAACUACAUAAGCUUGAUAGAUGUAAGAUAACGAGUUUCACAAUCCCAUUUUAAAUACUAUGGCUUUUGGCAGCCUGGUUUUGCAUCAUAUGUGUUUUUCAGUAAAAGCCCCAUUUUCCUACUUCCCCAACGUGUAAUACGCGAAAAAACUUUGUUAAUAAUAACAAAAAUUUGUAAUAGUAAACAGUGUAUUUUAUUAUAAAGGAUUUUCGUUUUUCUACUGCUCCAUACUUCGUGUGCUCCGUGCCCCGUGUGCUCCGUACUCCGUGUGCUCCGUGCUCCGUGUGCUCCGAGCUCCGUGUUUUACUAAUAGCCAAAGAUUUUAGGCGCCUGGGAAUUUAAAAUAGCACAACUGUCAAAAUUACUGCACACGCGAGUGCAUAAAGCAAAAUUUAUGCAUUUAUUUAAUGCACAACAACAGUAAU
Molecule: non-coding RNA, 522 nt
Organism: Paramuricea clavata
Lineage: Eukaryota; Metazoa; Cnidaria; Anthozoa; Malacalcyonacea; Plexauridae
Source: the annotation of a GenBank genome assembly